GGGGAAGACCCGUGGGUCCUGGACGGACAGGGGGCUGAAAGCCAGGGCUUGGGGAAUGGCCACUCAGGUAAGUGAGGGGAGCUGGCCCUUCUUUCAUUGAAGGCUGGGCCUAGGGGUUAUAAUGGCCUGUCAGGCCUCACAAGUAGGAGUUACUGGACUGGGUAGCAGUCCAUGGCAGGAAGUAGGUGUAGUGGUGAAUCUAAACCUGGUGGGUACAGCAGGGCUCAACCAGGUAGAGACAAAAUCAGGCCAUGGAUGAAUUUUUGUCCCUGCUCAGAGAGAAAAACUUGUUAGCCAAGGCUAGUUGUAAUAGGGCUUUCAGGUUUUGAAGAUUGCCUGAUUGUUGUAGAAGUCUCUCCACCCUGACACUCAUAGUGAAGGACUGAAGCUUGCUAUUAGAGCUCAGGUGCCAGGUGAAAGAGCCCAUUCCUACAUUCUAUGUGUAAUAAGGUGGAAUAAAAAAACAACAAAACUGUAAUAAUUAAAAAGGAGAAAGAAAAGUGUCAUUUGCAGUUUCUGCGAUUUCCAAAUUAGAAAAAUUAGAUAAGAGUUCACAAGAGAAACGUAAUAGUAUUACUGGUUACAAAAUCAUUUGUGUUUCUAUUCAUCAGCAACAAACAAAAACGUACUUUUUAAGAAAUAUUUUUUAGUUGUCAAUGGACCUUUAUUUUAUGUAUUUAUAUGCAGUGCUAAGAAUCGAACCUAAUGCCUCACACAGGCUAGGCAAGCACUGUACCGCUAAGCCACAACCCCAGCCCCAAAAACAUAAUUUUUACAACAAAAAUAUUUAUAAUAGCAUCAGAAAUGUGAAGUAUCCUGGAAAUAAUGUAACAAAAGAUAUGCUAGACAUUUAAGGGGAAAAUUGUAAAAGUAAAAAUGGAGCCCAGUUUGGUGGCCCAGGCCUGUGAUCCCAGCAACUCAGGAGGCUAAGGCAGGAGGAUCGCAAGUUGGAGGCCAUUCUGAACAACUUAGCAAGACACUGUUUCUAAAUAAAAAAGGGAUGUGGAUACAUCUUAGAGCACCCCUGGGUUCUAUCUCCAGCACUGGAAUGAAUGAAUGAAUGAAAGAUACAGAUGGAGACAGGUCUAGACUUAAAACUGUGCAAGAUGGCAUCUGAGUCUUGUGAAAACCUCAGUCAGCAUGUCCUGGUAGAAUGUGCCCCUCUUGAGAUGGGAAGGUUGGCACAUAGUUGAUCGACUUCAACAUUUCAGAUGUGGCCAUUUUCCCCUUGAAAAUUUGCUCCUUGCUUUUUUAAAGCUAGUGGACAGGACCCCAGUAUUCCACACAAUCUUAUGAACCUGCAAAAUCAAACAUCCUCAGGGAGCAGUGGGUAUGACAACUUCAGAGGAAUUUAAUUUACCAGUGACUGUGAACAAGAGGACACAAUAUUAUGUCACAGAAAUCUUGCACGAAACUUGUUUUCUUGAGACAGGCUUUCCCUAUGUUGUCCGGGCGGGUCUCGAACUCUGGGCUCAAGCAAUCCUCCUGCUUUGGCUUCUAAGUAGCUAGAACUACAGGCUUGUGCCACCAUGCCCAACAGUGCACAGAACUUCACAUUGUUUGGUAACUGCUCCCACAGAAGGCAAGAAAACACAGGUUAUUUUGCAGCCACUGCCAAACCAAACUGUUGUCCGUGGAGGUGCCUGAUGGAGACCUUUGACCCUUUUUAAGCAGUCUUUGAGUUUAAUGGCUGAAAAAAACUUAAGAUUGUCCAAGAGCACAGAAGCACCUGGUUACUCUGCCUCUGGCCCAGGCCAGAGAGGAGGAUGAGACUGAGUCACUUCUAGAGAGCAAUGGGCAUAGAAGCAGAAGCUACAUGCCCCUACUGGUUUUCACUUACUGUUUUAACAGCAGUGGGAAUAUUUUUCACUUUUGAAGGAAUGUUUUGUUGUCAGCUCGUCUCCCUGUUCCUUUUACAGACAACCUCAAAUGUGAUCACACUGCAGUCUGUGUGCAGGACAGCUUAUCUUGUCCGUGGGGUAAGUGCAUGUGUGAUCUUUUUAAUACAGUACAGUUCUUGAGGUAUUAAUGUUUAUGUGUUACCAGAUGUGACAGGAUUCCCCAGGGUGCUGUGGAGUUUGUUAAUACAACUCACACAAGGAAGAGUGUCUCCUAAUCAAGCAUUAUUUGUUUCAGUAGAAUCUCUUUUUUCCCCUUUAUGUAUUUUGUCACACUGAAAACAUAGUUUCCUGCUCUACACUUAAAACCACAACUAGAGCCACCAUUCUGAAAGGGAGUAUGGUUGGCUCUGUGCUAGGUACAGGGCAGGGGCCACUAUCACCAGCCUUCACACCGUGACUCUGCCCCACAAGAAGUCACAUGAUACUUUUAAGCCAUGGCUGAUUGAGACUCCCCUCCAGUUAUUGUAUUAUGAAAGUCAUCUCAUUUACCUUGUUACUCUGGCAUCAGAGUCCACCAGAGGUGCUCUGGCAACAGAAGCCACCCAUUCAGGAAAGCAAAUAAUAGAGCAGUAAAUUUUUUUGGUAAAAUUUUUAUUAGUUAUUGACAGACCUUUUAUUCAUUUAUUUGUUUAUAUGUGGUGCUGAGAAUCGAACCCAGUGCCUCAUACAUGCUAGGCAAGCACCAGUACCACUGAGUCACAACCCCAGCCUCCCCCACCCCCAGCAGUGAUACUUUAAUGCAAAUAACUGAUUCUUUCUUUGCCCUACAGACUUGUAUUUUAUAAAGAUGGGCCUUAGGGGGUGGGGGGUUGAUAAAACUAGUCUCAUCAGUUUAAAGAACAUAUAGCAUAACUUUUUUUUUUUAGUAUAUAUUUUUUUUAGUUGUAGAUGGACACAAUAUCUUUAUUUUUAUUUGUUUAUUUUUAUGUGGUGCUGAGUAUCGAACCUAAGGCGAGGCAAGCACUCUACCAGUGAGCUACAACCCCAGCCCUAGCUUAACUUUUUUUUUUUUUAGUUGUAGUUGAACACAAUAUCUUUAUUUUAUUUAUUUUUAUGUGGUGCUAAGGCUCGAACCCAGGGCUUCACACAUGCUAGGUGAGCGCUCUACCGCUGAGCCAUGACCCCAGCCCCCCCAGCAUAACUUAUUAAAAAAUAAAAUUCAUUAAAAAUCUUAUUUAUUACCCAACAGCUUAGGAGGCUGAAGCAGGAAGAUCACAAGUUCAAAGCCAGCCUUAGCAACUUAGCAAGGCCCUGUCUCAAAAUAAAAAGGGCUGGGGAUUUUGCUGAGUGGGAUUUUGCUGGGUUCAAUUGAUGGCACCAAAAAAAAAAAAAAAUCUUAAAUAGAUGACUGUAAAUUUAGAUUUUUUUUUUAAUGAAGAUCCUAUUAAAUCCUCAGUUUUAGUUUAUAAAUGCGGUAUACACUUAAACAAAUUGCUCUGAAGGAAACUUAAAAAAAGAUAUGGAAAUACUCAAUAAGAAAAGUGGAAGCAACACUUGAACAAGUUCCUGUUUGUUUUUAGAAUAAGGAAAAAUGUUUUAUUGCUUUGCUGGCAAAGGAGAAACACAGGGACUCCUGUCCCAGAGGCUGUGAUUCUUUUUUUUUUUUUUUUUUUUUUUUGGUACGGGGAUUGAAUCCAGGGAUGCUUAACUACUGAGCCACAUUCUCAACCCUUUUAACUUUUUUUUGGUACAGGGGAUUGAACUCAGGGCACUCAACCACUAGCCCACAUCCCCAGCCCUAUUUUGUAUUUUAUUUAGAGACAGGGUCUCACUGAGUUGCUUAGUGCCUCACCUUUGUUGAAGCUGGCUGUGCCACCAAGCCCAGUUAACUUUUUUUGAGACAGGGUCUCAGUAAGUUGCUUAGGGCCUCGCUAAGUUGCUGAAGCUGGCCUUGAACUUAAGAUCCUCCUGCCUCAAGUCUCCUGGGCUGCUGGGAUUAUAGAUGUACACCACUGCCCCCACUAGUUUGGCAUUAUCUAAUGGAGUUGAAAUAUGAAUCCUUAUGUUCCCCACACCCAACCCUGAUACAUAAUAAGUACUAAGAAACAAACAAGAAUCUUUGUAGAAGCAUGCUUCAUGAUGGAAGACUGAAAAUCACCCAGAUGUCCAUCAACAGUAGAAUAGAAAAAUUUGACAUUUAAAUAUAAUGAAAUAUACCACAGUGAAAAUGAUUAAAUAACUGAAUAAAAGUGAAAACACAACAUCAAAAUUUGUGAUAUUCUGCUAAUACAGUACUUAGCUCUUUUAUGAUCUAUGUUAGAAAAGUUAAAAGUUGCUAAGUCUAAAACAGAACGAUUCAGUUAUUUUUGAGGCAGCUGUUUGUUCAGGCUGGACUUGAACUCAGAAUUCUUCAGCCUUUGCCUCCUGAGUACCUGGGAUGACAGAUGUGAUGUUUUUUGUUUUGGGACAGGCUUUUGCCAUGUCAGACUAGGCUAGUCUCAAUCACCUGGGUUUGAGUGAUCCUGCCACCUUAGCUCUUGAAUAGCUGGAACUACAAGGGCAUGCCAUUGUGCCCAGCUCAUAAUGGAACCAUUUGAAUAAUAAAAUAAAUAACAGGUUAGCCAGGCACGGUGGCACACAACCUAUAAUCCCAGCAAUUUGAGAAGCUGAGGCGGACACAACAUCUUUGUUUAUAUGUGGUGCUGAGGAUCGAACCCGGGCCGCACGCAUGCCAGGUGAGCACGCUACCGCUUGAGCCACACCCCCAGCCCCCCCAAAAAUAAUUUUUUGAUUCAUAACUUUGCACCAUAAGAAUCAACCCAGAAUGGUCAUAGAGCUAAAUAUAAAAUCUAAAAACUCUGAAAUUUUAAGAAACCAUAGAAUAAAAUUAUUUUAACUUUUGGUUAGGCAAAGAUUUAAUAAGAAGUUCAAGGCCAGACUUGGCAACUUGAUGAGACUGUUUCAAAAAAAUAAUUUUGAAACAGGUUUAAUUUUAAAAGGGUUGGGAAUAUAACUCAGUGGCAAGAGUGCCCCUGUGUUCAAUCCCUAGUAUCAAAAUAAUUAAAUGACAGAUUAUUAGCCAAAAGUAUAAAAUGUACAAGUUCAUACAGAUGAAUAAAUUUAUUGUAUAAUAAAUACACUGAGGGAAGAGGUUAUCUUACAGAAGAAUUCNUAGAGAGCAAUGGGCAUAGAAGCAGAAGCUACAUGCCCCUACUGGUUUUCACUUACUGUUUUAACAGCAGUGGGAAUAUUUUUCACUUUUGAAGGAAUGUUUUGUUGUCAGCUCGUCUCCCUGUUCCUUUUACAGACAACCUCAAAUGUGAUCACACUGCAGUCUGUGUGCAGGACAGCUUAUCUUGUCCGUGGGGUAAGUGCAUGUGUGAUCUUUUUAAUACAGUACAGUUCUUGAGGUAUUAAUGUUUAUGUGUUACCAGAUGUGACAGGAUUCCCCAGGGUGCUGUGGAGUUUGUUAAUACAACUCACACAAGGAAGAGUGUCUCCUAAUCAAGCAUUAUUUGUUUCAGUAGAAUCUCUUUUUUCCCCUUUAUGUAUUUUGUCACACUGAAAACAUAGUUUCCUGCUCUACACUUAAAACCACAACUAGAGCCACCAUUCUGAAAGGGAGUAUGGUUGGCUCUGUGCUAGGUACAGGGCAGGGGCCACUAUCACCAGCCUUCACACCGUGACUCUGCCCCACAAGAAGUCACAUGAUACUUUUAAGCCAUGGCUGAUUGAGACUCCCCUCCAGUUAUUGUAUUAUGAAAGUCAUCUCAUUUACCUUGUUACUCUGGCAUCAGAGUCCACCAGAGGUGCUCUGGCAACAGAAGCCACCCAUUCAGGAAAGCAAAUAAUAGAGCAGUAAAUUUUUUUGGUAAAAUUUUUAUUAGUUAUUGACAGACCUUUUAUUCAUUUAUUUGUUUAUAUGUGGUGCUGAGAAUCGAACCCAGUGCCUCAUACAUGCUAGGCAAGCACCAGUACCACUGAGUCACAACCCCAGCCUCCCCCACCCCCAGCAGUGAUACUUUAAUGCAAAUAACUGAUUCUUUCUUUGCCCUACAGACUUGUAUUUUAUAAAGAUGGGCCUUAGGGGGUGGGGGGUUGAUAAAACUAGUCUCAUCAGUUUAAAGAACAUAUAGCAUAACUUUUUUUUUUUAGUAUAUAUUUUUUUUAGUUGUAGAUGGACACAAUAUCUUUAUUUUUAUUUGUUUAUUUUUAUGUGGUGCUGAGUAUCGAACCUAAGGCGAGGCAAGCACUCUACCAGUGAGCUACAACCCCAGCCCUAGCUUAACUUUUUUUUUUUUUAGUUGUAGUUGAACACAAUAUCUUUAUUUUAUUUAUUUUUAUGUGGUGCUAAGGCUCGAACCCAGGGCUUCACACAUGCUAGGUGAGCGCUCUACCGCUGAGCCAUGACCCCAGCCCCCCCAGCAUAACUUAUUAAAAAAUAAAAUUCAUUAAAAAUCUUAUUUAUUACCCAACAGCUUAGGAGGCUGAAGCAGGAAGAUCACAAGUUCAAAGCCAGCCUUAGCAACUUAGCAAGGCCCUGUCUCAAAAUAAAAAGGGCUGGGGAUUUUGCUGAGUGGGAUUUUGCUGGGUUCAAUUGAUGGCACCAAAAAAAAAAAAAAAUCUUAAAUAGAUGACUGUAAAUUUAGAUUUUUUUUUUAAUGAAGAUCCUAUUAAAUCCUCAGUUUUAGUUUAUAAAUGCGGUAUACACUUAAACAAAUUGCUCUGAAGGAAACUUAAAAAAGAUAUGGAAAUACUCAAUAAGAAAAGUGGAAGCAACACUUGAACAAGUUCCUGUUUGUUUUUAGAAUAAGGAAAAAUGUUUUAUUGCUUUGCUGGCAAAGGAGAAACACAGGGACUCCUGUCCCAGAGGCUGUGAUUCUUUUUUUUUUUUGGUACGGGGAUUGAAUCCAGGGAUGCUUAACUACUGAGCCACAUUCUCAACCCUUUUAACUUUUUUUUGGUACAGGGGAUUGAACUCAGGGCACUCAACCACUAGCCCACAUCCCCAGCCCUAUUUUGUAUUUUAUUUAGAGACAGGGUCUCACUGAGUUGCUUAGUGCCUCACCUUUGUUGAAGCUGGCUGUGCCACCAAGCCCAGUUAACUUUUUUUGAGACAGGGUCUCAGUAAGUUGCUUAGGGCCUCGCUAAGUUGCUGAAGCUGGCCUUGAACUUAAGAUCCUCCUGCCUCAAGUCUCCUGGGCUGCUGGGAUUAUAGAUGUACACCACUGCCCCCACUAGUUUGGCAUUAUCUAAUGGAGUUGAAAUAUGAAUCCUUAUGUUCCCCACACCCAACCCUGAUACAUAAUAAGUACUAAGAAACAAACAAGAAUCUUUGUAGAAGCAUGCUUCAUGAUGGAAGACUGAAAAUCACCCAGAUGUCCAUCAACAGUAGAAUAGAAAAAUUUGACAUUUAAAUAUAAUGAAAUAUACCACAGUGAAAAUGAUUAAAUAACUGAAUAAAAGUGAAAACACAACAUCAAAAUUUGUGAUAUUCUGCUAAUACAGUACUUAGCUCUUUUAUGAUCUAUGUUAGAAAAGUUAAAAGUUGCUAAGUCUAAAACAGAACGAUUCAGUUAUUUUUGAGGCAGCUGUUUGUUCAGGCUGGACUUGAACUCAGAAUUCUUCAGCCUUUGCCUCCUGAGUACCUGGGAUGACAGAUGUGAUGUUUUUUGUUUUGGGACAGGCUUUUGCCAUGUCAGACUAGGCUAGUCUCAAUCACCUGGGUUUGAGUGAUCCUGCCACCUUAGCUCUUGAAUAGCUGGAACUACAAGGGCAUGCCAUUGUGCCCAGCUCAUAAUGGAACCAUUUGAAUAAUAAAAUAAAUAACAGGUUAGCCAGGCACGGUGGCACACAACCUAUAAUCCCAGCAAUUUGAGAAGCUGAGGCGGACACAACAUCUUUGUUUAUAUGUGGUGCUGAGGAUCGAACCCGGGCCGCACGCAUGCCAGGUGAGCACGCUACCGCUUGAGCCACACCCCCAGCCCCCCCAAAAAUAAUUUUUUGAUUCAUAACUUUGCACCAUAAGAAUCAACCCAGAAUGGUCAUAGAGCUAAAUAUAAAAUCUAAAAACUCUGAAAUUUUAAGAAACCAUAGAAUAAAAUUAUUUUAACUUUUGGUUAGGCAAAGAUUUAAUAAGAAGUUCAAGGCCAGACUUGGCAACUUGAUGAGACUGUUUCAAAAAAAUAAUUUUGAAACAGGUUUAAUUUUAAAAGGGUUGGGAAUAUAACUCAGUGGCAAGAGUGCCCCUGUGUUCAAUCCCUAGUAUCAAAAUAAUUAAAUGACAGAUUAUUAGCCAAAAGUAUAAAAUGUACAAGUUCAUACAGAUGAAUAAAUUUAUUGUAUAAUAAAUACACUGAGGGAAGAGGUUAUCUUACAGAAGAAUUCCAAGAAAGAUAUAAUAUAGAUGGGUAGGUAGCCCCUCACCAGAAAGCAAAGCUUAAAUCCACCCUUCCAAAGGUAGACCAGACUCCGUAACUCCUAUCCAAAGAACAGCAUAUGAAAGACAGAAAAUGAGGGGCAUUUUAGAAAAUACAGAGCUGAUAAGGGAAGACUGAAAGACCAUCACAGAGAAGAGGAUAACUAAAGAGUCCAUUAUAGCUGAAAUCCAAAUAAAGUCUGGGGUUUGGUUAAUAGUACUAGACUAAUGUUGCUCUCUUGGUUGUGACAAAAGUACCUGAGUAAUGUAAGAUGUUAAGAGUAGGGGGAGACUGAGUAAGGCACAUAGGCAACUCUCUACUGUCUUUGCAACUUUCUGUCAGUUCAGAUUGAUCCUGAACUAAAAACCUUAUUUUUUAAAAAAUGUUAAUUCACAAUACUAAUAGAAUUAAUAAGAACUACAUCUCAACUAUGGAAGAAAAAGCAUUUCACAAAAUCCCACACCCAUUCUUGCCCAUCAGGCUCACAGGUGGAAGACUGAACAUGUGUGUCCGGCGGUAUCCUAGAAGGUCUGCCAACACAGGGUGGGUGGUGGGGGGCAGCCAAUCUGUAGAGGAUGGAGCAAAGUGGCCCGUAUUGGCAGAGCUCAUGGCAGUCUACAUGGAAGGUCCUAUGAAACGACACAGCAGUCACUAGAGUAAGGGAGCCUUACUCUAGUAAGUAAGACACAUAGAAAUCAAUUACUUUCCCCCAUUCCCACAGUGAACAACUACCUUGAAAUUAAAACAAUAGCAUCAUUCAUAACACUUUCAAGAAACACAAAAUACCUAGGAAUAAGUCUAACAGAGGUGUUGGGAGACCUGCAUAGUGAGACUCCCAAAAUAUUGCUGAGAUAAAGUAAAUUUAAAAUGUAUCACGUUCAUAGAUCAAAAGACUUUUUAAGCAGGGCGGGUGCAGUGGCACACGCCUGUAAUCCAGCAGCUUAUGAGGCUGAGACAGGAGGAUCAGGAGUUCUAAGCCAGCUUCAGCAAGGCACUAAGCAACUCAAUGAGACCUUAUCUCUAAAUAACAUACAAAAUAGGGCUGGGGAUGGGGUGGGGCUCAGUGGCUGAAUGCCCCUGAGUUCAAUCUCUGAUACCAAAAAAAAGACUUUGUUAAGAUAUCAUCUCCAAUUUGAGGUCUAGAUCCAGUGCAACAUAAAUCAAAAUUACAGAAGGCUUUGGGGUACAGAUUGUCAAACUGAUUCUAAAAUUCACACGGAAAUGUAACAUAUAUUGAACAGUCAACAGCUUUGUAAAAACUUGUGGGAUGUAUAGUACCUAACUCCAGGAUUUAUUAUAAAGCUAUGCCAAUGAAGACAGUAUAGUAUUGACCACAAAACAGAACAUUAUAAGCAGUGGGUCAGAACAGAGAAUGCUGAAAUAGAUUAGCAAAACAAGAAAAUUAAUUUUUUACACAGGAGCAAAAGGCAGUUUAGUGGAGAAAGGGUAUUCUUUUCAGCAAAUCCUACUAGAUAUAUACAUGCUGGGUUUUUUUUCUUUCUUUCUUUUUUUUUUUUUUUCCUGUGGUGCUGGGGAGUGAACUCAGGGCCUUGUGCAUGCAAGGCAAGCACUCUACCAACUGAGCUACGUCCCCAGCCGAAAAAAUUAAUUUUUUUUUUUUUAGAGAGAGAGAGAGAAUUUUUAAUAUUUAUUUUUUAGUUUUCGGCGGACACAACAUCUUUGUUUGUAUGUGGUGCUGAGGAUCGAACCCGGGCCGCACGCAUGCCAGGCGAGCGCGCUACCACUUGAGCCACAUCCCCAGCCCAUAGAAGAAGAGAAUUUUUUUAAUAUUUAUUUUUCAGUUUUUGGUGGACACAACAUCUUUAUUUUAUUUUUAUGUGAUGCUGAGGAUCAAACCUAGUGCCGCGCACAUGCCAGGCAAGCGCGUUACCGCUUGAGCCACAUCCCCAGCUCAGGGCAUAUAUCUUCUAUCUGAAUAACUUUUUUAUGGUAUUGAGGAUUGAACCCAAGGAUACUUAGCCACUGAAGAACAUCCACAGCCCUUUUUAUUUUUUUAAUUUUGAGACAGGGUCUCAUUAAGUUGCUGAGGCUGGCUUUGAACUUGUAGUCCUGCUGCCUGGGGCUCCCAAGCCAUUAGGAUUACAGGCCUGUGCCACUGCUCCCAGCCCAAACCCUUUUAUUUUUUAUUUUUCAACAGGGUCCCGCCAAGUUGCCCAGGCUGGCCUUGAACUCGCAGUCUUCCUACCUCAGCCACUGCAGUAGCUGUGAUUGCAGAUGUGUGCCACCACACUUAGCUCUUUCUUAGUUUUUAAUUCCUCUGCUAAAAUUCUCCAUCUGGUCAUGCUUGUUCAUCCAAUAUAUGGUUAUCUCUUAGUCAGUUUUUUUAGAUUGAUUUAAAUUUUUGUUGUUUUUUGAGUUCUUUUUCUUUCUGAGUGUCUCAUAAAUUUUUACUGAAUGCCAACAUAAGUGUUAAAAUGUGACCUUUCCUGCUGGGCAGCCAGUGUGUAAGCUGGAUCAGUCCAGUCGGUACAAGGGCUAGGUUUGACUCAUAUAUAUAUAUAUAAUCUAUAUCUCACACUUUAUUUUAUGUGGUGCUGAGGAUUGAACCCAGUGCCUCAUGCAUGCUAGGCAAACGCUCUACCUCCAAGCCACAACCCCAGCCCCGCUAGGUUUGAAUUUUGUUGUCAUGAUUACUUUGUGUGCACCACCAGAGUCAAACUCCUCUAGCAUUUCCUGGUACACAGGGUAGGGGCUGUCAGUCUUCCACACAGACCAGUACCUCAGAGAGGGUCCCUCCUGCUCUUGCCCUACCCUAGACAUAGACUCUAUUGCCUGUGACCCAGGGCUUGCUCACCUCAGGAGGUGGGGAACAAGGGAACUGUGCUCACCUGGCCCAUCUUUAGUCUGCAGGUGCUCGGUUUUGGGGUCUUGGGCAAUACCUCAAUGAUCCUGCCCUUUGUCUGGCUGUGGGAGACCUGAUUAUCUACCCAUGAUCGUCUCCUGCCCUCCAUUUUUCUUUUCUCUUCUCCCAGCCACAGUGACUAUUACCAGUACUUCAGGUGUGAUAGGUUUUCUUUGCUCCCAGUGACUUCUGGCUUGCUCCAUAUAGAGGACCAGGUAGGUAUUUUUCCCUUCCUUCCUCCAGUCCUGAACCUCCCAGGAGACUUUCUCAUGAGUGCCUGGGGAGCCAGUAGAGAAGACCCCAGGGGACCACGGAGAAAAGCCCUGUACCGUGGCUCCCUGAGGUUCUCCAGCAGCUGGCUAAGGCAUUCUCCUUGCCCACUGUAUGAUGGCCCCAUCUGCCUUCUUCUCCAUAGGGCAGGGCAGUGCACAUGUACCAAAGUCUUCUUUCCAUUGGACACCUGUCUCAGGUCCUCAGCUAGUCAGCCAUCAUGUGCCCUCGGCUCUCAAGGGUUCAGGAAAAGAAGGGGUUUUGUAGAUGAUCUGGCUUUUACCAGUUGUUGGGCUGGAAGAGAUGCUCUUUCCAGCAUUCUCCCUCCAGGAAUAGCAAGAUAGCAUGUGAUGAGUGAUGAUGGCAAAGCAGCGUGUUUCACAUAGUGUAUAGUAAAGAUGAUCAGAGGGACUCAGGAACAUACAGCCACAUGACUCCACACUGAGUUGGGUUCUGUUUCUGUUGGUUUGGUGAGUACCCAGGUGACGGGGUGGGUAGUAAGAGGGGUCAGCUGGAGUUUCAACAGGAAACUACAAGGAUUAGUCUGGAUGCUGGUGUGGGAAGAGUGACAUGAGUUCCAAAUGUCUGGCAGCUGUAGGAGGGCUUGUUCUUGGAGCAACAAACCAAAUUCUGUCCAAAAGGAGAGGUCUGACUGAGCUCCUGGCUGAGCCCUGGUGGAUACUGGAGGGCCUUCAUGUUGAUGGGGCAGUUAUGCUCCAGGCAAGUAUGGCAGAGCAGGUUGGUUGGACCUGGAGUGACACCCCCAGCUCAGGCCACCACCAUUGGAAACCCCUCAUCCAUGGAGGCGGUCCUUGAGGAUUUGGUGCACUCUGCUCUGCCACCAUGCUUGUAGAAGAAACACUAGUAUUUUGUAUGUCUCAAUCUCCAAGGUAACCAUUUCUUGGAUGACUAAAAACAUUACCAAUCAAACCAAGCACAUUCUAUUUAUGGCCACCUUUGCCCAAAUCUUUUUCCAAACACUUCCAUCAUAAAACACUUCGUGGAUGUUCCUGCCAGUCACCGAAGAUCCUUGGCAUUGUGCACAUUUCUCUUAGGUUCUUACUUUCCAAAUCUCUUUGUUGAGAUUUCAAGAGGCCCAUUAUUCAAUGUGUCUUCCCAAAGCAUGUUUAGAGCCAAUUAAAGAGUAAAGCUUCUGUGGGCAGGGGUUGUGGCUCAGCGGUAGGACGCUCACCUAGCACGUGCAAGGCCCUGGGUUCGAUCCUCAGCACCACAUAAAAAUAAAUAAAAUAAAGGUAUUGUAUCCAACAACUAAAAAAUAAAUAUAUAAAAAAAUAAAGAGUAAAGCUUUAGCCAAGCGCAGUGUCAUAUACCUAUGAUCCCAGUGACUCGGGAGGCUGAAGCAGGAGGUUGGCAAGUUCAAGGGCAGCCUGGGCAAAUUAGCAAGACCCUAUCUCAUAAAGUAAAAAGGGCUGGGGAUGUAGCUCAGUGGUGAAACACCCUGGGAACAUGUCACUUAUUGCUAGUCUGAUACACUUCCCCAUAUGGGACUCCAGAUGAAAGCUAUUGGGGCCUGUGGCUUCAGGUCUCUGGACGUGGGGGACAGCUGUUCCCAAGGAGUGGCUGAGCUGAGAAUGCCCAUUCUUACCCAGAGUAACCUCUGGAGAGGAUUGGAAAAGAAGUGUGUGCCCACAUGCUCCGGUGCUAUCCUUGCCUGUGAUCUCAGCAUCUGUGGGUCAGCUACAAAUUUAGUACCAGAUCCUGGUGUGUCUUCCAGCAGAUUGAGAAUUGCCUUCUCGGGUCUUCCUCCACUGUGGAGCUGCUUAUACUACAAUAUCCCUUAGGGCAGUCCCCAACAGAGGAUUGAGGGGACAGGGAGAAGCACUGAAGGUGGGCUAGAAUCCCAAGCCCUCCAGGAGGUCUCACUGUGCCCUGGAGCCUCAGAUGCUGGAGGCCUGGUCAUCAUUCUGCAUUGUAGUGGAGCCUGUGGCCCUUUGGCCCAAGGAAGCCUGAAGGACUCAGCAUGCCACUGCCUUGGGGAGCCAUCGUCUUGCUCCCCCACUCUCUUGUGGGGCUGGGCCACUCAUCACUCCUCAAUGCAGGGACCUCUACACAGUCUGGGCUUCUAGCAAGUAGCCACCACCACAUGAAGUCAUAAUGUGAGUGGCCCAAGUUACUGGAACAUGGUUGUCUCAGCACCCCCUACCCCCUCACACACAGUGGCCCACAGCACCUGUGGAUACCCAGAGCAUCUCCACUCCAACCUCUCCUGCCUCCACUCUGCCAUCCCUGCAGGCCUUGUCCACAGCUAAAUUGGGCUGCAGAUUCCCACCACCUCCCUUUGUCUCUAGUCUCACCUGCCUGAGUAUUCUCCACACUGUUACCUUCUACAACGAGUUCCCAGCACCAACCCCCCCCACACAAAUCCACUGGCCCCAGGAUUGCAUUCCCCAGCCUGCUCACAGGCAUGCAAGCCUCCCCACCCUCCCCAGGCCAGGCUUCACUGCUCACUGGCUGCUCUCUGUGCGCACAGGGCUCCUACAGGCUGGGAGAGUCCUGCAAUCAGCUCCAUGUGGCCUCCUGAGGCUCCGUUCACCUGAGGAGGGCUCCAGGGAGGGCAGGGCCUGGGGAAGCACUAGGCCACGCCCCACUAUAGUGUUCUUGGGCACUCUGCAGGGGUACCUCCUUACUGGCACUCCACUGUCAGUCAUUACAAGGUCUUGUGGAAAUUUAAUCUUCAGAUUUCUCCAGCAGGGAGUGACCUUCACCAGAAAGCCAGCUUCAGGGUUGUACUGUGCAGUUUUGAGAAGUGUUGACAUUGUCAUUUUGGAUUUGUUGUUUCAGAAUGCAAAACCAAGGAAGAGAACCAAAAUACAGAUUGGCCCUUAAAGCCGAUAAUUUCAGAUGAGGUAACAGUGCAUCUGGGGAAAGCAUCUUCAGGGAGCAUCGUUCAAGAACAUUAUAACCCAGAGCAGAGCUUCUGCCUGCAUGCAAGCCCUGUCGUCCCUGGCGAGGCUCGGGUCUCGAAUAGGAGCAGGCCACUGACUCCACACCCAGAAGCUCCCAGUGGAGAGAGGCCCUACAUGUGCAUCGAGUGUGGGAAGUGCUUUGGGCGGAGCUCCCAUCUUCUUCAACACCAGCGAAUCCACACGGGUGAGAAGCCAUAUGUGUGCAGUGUGUGCGGGAAGGCCUUCAGCCAAAGCUCAGUCCUCAGUAAACACAGGAGAAUCCACACUGGCGAAAAACCCUAUGAGUGUAACGAGUGUGGAAAAGCCUUCCGAGUGAGCUCGGACCUUGCUCAGCACCACAAGAUUCACACAGGAGAGAAACCUCACGAGUGUGCCGAGUGUCGGAAGGCCUUCACCCAGCUCUCGCACCUCAUCCAGCACCAGCGGAUCCACACAGGGGAGAGGCCCUAUGUGUGCCCACUAUGUGGGAAGGCCUUCAACCACAGCACUGUGCUGCGGAGCCACCAGAGGGUACACACUGGGGAGAAGCCUCACCAGUGCAGCGAGUGCGGGAAGACCUUUAGCGUAAAGAGGACGCUGCUGCAGCACCAGCGGGUGCACACAGGGGAGAAGCCCUACACGUGCAGUGAGUGUGGGAAGGCCUUCAGCGACCGCUCAGUCCUCAUCCAGCACCACAAUGUGCACACAGGAGAGAAGCCCUACGAGUGUGGCGAGUGUGGCAAGGCCUUCAGCCACCGCUCCACCCUCAUGAACCAUGAGCGGAUCCACUCAGAGGAAAAGCCCUAUGCUUGCUACGAGUGUGGCAAGGCCUUCGUGCAGCACUCCCACCUGAUCCAGCACCAGAGGGUCCACACCGGGGAGAAGCCCUAUGUGUGUGGAGAGUGUGGGCAUGCCUUUAGCGCACGUCGCUCUCUGAUCCAGCAUGAGAGGAUCCACACGGGAGAGAAGCCCUUCCAGUGCACAGAGUGCAGCAAGGCCUUCAGCCUUAAGGCCACCCUGAUCGUGCACCUGCGGACCCACACUGGCGAGAAGCCCUAUGAGUGCAGCAGCUGCGGCAAGGCCUUCAGCCAGUACUCGGUGCUCAUCCAGCACCAGCGGAUCCAUACAGGGGAGAAGCCCUAUGAGUGUGGGGAGUGCGGACGUGCCUUCAACCAACACGGCCACCUGAUCCAGCACCAGAAGGUGCACGGGAAGCUGUGAGCCUGGGGCCUGGUGGCUGCAGGAGGCAGCCUCACUACCCUCCCUCGGGUUUCAGUGCCACAAAAUAAUUGCAGGGAGAAGCACUGGGCAUGUUCUUCCUGUGGAAAAGCUGCAGAGCAUAUGUUUUGUUUUCCUCAACAUCCUGAAGCUGUAUUGAAGAGUGACCUGCCAUCAUAAUGAAGUUUGGGUAACAAUAGCCAUAAUUCCUUGUUUCUUCAACAUUAGAUAAUUCAUUUGACAGGAGUAACUAAAGGAAGUUAAAGUAAAAGGACUUGUCCCAAAAUACUCCCUUAUGUUCCCAGUGAGGUUCUUUCUCUUCUGAGAAUGCAUGCCUUUCCUAAACAGUUAGCCAGUUAGCUGUGAAACUUAGAACACUGGACUGUUUUCGUAUUCUCUUGAAACACAGAAGUGCUGUGUGGAUAAAUUGAUAUACGACAUCAAGGAUCACAUGACAUCGCUGAAAAUUGUAACUGUGCAAAUACCUGUUUGUAUGAAAAGAAAAAGAAGUCUAAAGAUGUGUUCAUUAGAAAUUAUGUAAAUUAAAAAAAAAAAAAACUCUUUUAUCUGGUGCUUUAACUUAUCCAAGACCAGAAGGAAUGUCCUGCCACUUGAGUAAAAAUGCAACUAAAACAUGGUUGUUUUCCUUAAGACCUAUAGACUCUGCAUGCCAGAGAUUCUGGAUCUCUGGGGCCAGUUAGGUCCCAAGCAAGAAAAUAUUGCUAAAAAGAUGAUUCCUUGUUGCGCGUUGUUUUGUUUUGUUGGUACCAGGAUUGAACCCAGGGGCACUGGACCCCUGAGCUGCAUCCCCAUCCCAUUUUAUUUUUUAUUGUGAGAUAGUCUUGCUGAGCUGCUUGGGGCCUCAGCCUCCUGUGGUACACCACCACACCCAGCAGUGCAUUUUUUUUUUUUUUAAUUCUCACUCUUUUUUACUAGCUCUAAUAGUCCAUUCUUGUACUCCAGUUGUUUGGGGUUUGUUGUUGUUGUUGUUUAACUCCUGGCUUAAGACAGUCUACUAUUCAUUGCCUGUGAUAAAUUUGGUUUAUUCAUAAUUAAAAAUUUGAAUUUGUUCAGAAUUAUUUGCUCAGUUUUUAAGGGUAUGGUUCUUACAUCUGAGUUUAUAUCAGAGCCAUUUCUAGUAGUAUCUACCUGCAAAUAAAACAAAGGUCAAACGUAAAUGUGUCAGUGCCUGGUGGAGGUGUUUCCUUCUUCCUCUGGGGAGAAGAGAGAAGCACUGGGGUGCUGGUCCUCAGCGUUACACGUGACAAGAGCUCGGUAAGAAUGGCCCGUCCCUGAGGCCUUGGCUUGAGCAGGGAGCUGCGGUACAGCUGAGCCGCUGCUUGAGGAGGAGCUGAUCACAGAAGGGUGGCAGAGAAGAGCAACACUAAGUGUCUCAGUGAGGAGAGCCAAGGUCUGCGCCUUACUGCAGAAAGGAAAGGAGGCCACUGUGGUGUCACUUCAGUGAGGCUGAAAAUCCAGAGUUGGGAGCACUGAGAUGAAUUCUCCAGAGGGCUCAGGUCACUGAAGGGAGCCAACAGAGUGGAGGCCACUGGGCACUGCUUCCUAGAGGAGGUGAGAUCACUGAUGUUUUUCGGAAGAGAUGACAGAGAAGCUGGAAUCGAUGAGUUGUUACUUCAGAGAAGAACUGAACUCACUGAAGUGUGACCUGGGGCCAAGAUGAAGUCUUCAGAGGCUGAGGUGAACGCGGUCAAACUUCACAAAGCUGCCCUCACAAAGGGACACUUCAGAGUCUCCUCUGAAAAGGAGCUGAGGCUACUAAGGGUGUAAGACCUUAGUGGAGGGAGGAGGGAGGCUGCCAGCCCUCACAAGGGGACUCUGCAGCUGGGGUCUCUGUGGCUGCAGGUUGGAGCCCACCACUACUCAAGCCACAAUUGCUGAUCAUGCAGAAAAGCAGAGCACAGUCAUGUGCCAAUCAGGAUGAGAAUAGGAGCUCGAUUGAAUUCAGUACAAAGAUUUGUGUAGAAAGACUAUAUGAAAAAAAGAAGAAAAGAAAGAGAAACAAAGGCUGUAUCCCAGGACAACUGAAGUCACAGGGUACAGAGUGCUGGAUAGCUCAGUUCUCCAGUAGCCUAGGUUUCCAGGGAGACCUUUCUAAAACCUAGUUUGCUUUCCUGCAUUCUCAGAUGAAGCAUGCUCAGCAUCCAUCUCCUAUUCUUGUUGGCAGGCCACCUUUGAUGCACCCAGGUGCAGGUUCAGGUGUCCGUGGAGCUGGGAAGUGGACAUCAGUGCCCCUCGUGGAGGGGAUUCCAGCUCUGUGUUCUUGCCAUUCACCUCAUGGCCACCUGGAACACAUGGGCAGCUGCCUUUGGGGAACAUGAGGUCAGAGGCCACAAUGAGCUUGGGCUCCCUUCAAGUAGUGGUGACCUACCUCUUGGGCUUUACCUGCCCAACUACUUGUCAUUUUUCAGUACCAUUCCACUUUUAUUUUGAAUUUGUAUGUGUGUAUGCUCAGAAAUCUUUACAGUUUAUGCAUUUAAAUCUUUAUAUUAAUGCAUUUAAAUCUUUAUUAAUUCUCCUUAUUGGCUACCAAGAAUUUGCUAUUUAAUACUUUUCAAAUUUUCUAUCAUUAAAAAAUAUCAUGGGGGCUGGGGUUAUGGCUUGGCGGUAGAGCGCUCACCUUGCAUGUGCAAGGCCCUGGGUUUGAUCCUCAGCACCACAUAAACAUAAAUAAAUAAAAGUUAUUAAAAAAAAUCACGGUCCUCCUGAAAUUUAAUUCUGUGUACUGUAUACAAUCUGACAUAUUCCAGUUUAAAAAAAAAACAAUGAUUAUAACAAGUAUUUGGGUGAAGAAAGCUCAAUAAUGUUGACACAAAGAUCGGCGCUUCAGUGACCACAGGACACAAGCAGGCAGCUCCAAACCAGGAAAAACUGGGAAGUCUGGAAGAGGUCCACUAUGCCAAGGAAGUGGAACAUGUCGUGGCCUCCCACUCAGGGAGGCUCAUCCAGUCCCCCGAGAUGCAGAGGUGGAAAAGGUGCCUCCAUGCUUUUGCUGAUGACAUUACCAUUAAAAUGAAACUCUAGGACUGGAGCUAUAGUUCUGUGGCAUAGCACUUGCCUAGCAUGUGUGAGGCACUGGUUCGAUCCUCAGAACCACAUAACAAAUAAAUUAAUAAAGAUAUUGUGAGUCCAUCUACAACUAAAAAAAAUUUGAAAAAAUGAAACACCUCCCAAGAAACAUGCAGACUUCAUUAAAUAAGUCUUGGGCUGGGGCUGCAGCUCAGUGGCAGAGUGCUUACCUAGCAUGUGGGAGGCACUGGGUUGGAUCCUUAGCACCACAUAAAAAUAAAGGCAUGCUGUCCAUAUACGACCACAUUUUUUUCUUUUUUUUAACAGAAGUCUGGCAGUUACACAUACUGUUUUUUUCUGGAGUAUCUCUGGGCCACAGCCAUACCCAGCUUCUGUCAGUUGUGAGGAAACAAUGGUGUAACUCAUCCUUUCUUUGAAGAACGAUGACAACACACCAGGACUCGGCUUGGCAGGUGCUGGUCAACCCUAAGGAAGAGGGGCACUCGGUAGAAAGGCUGCACAGAAGGACCA
This 19075-nucleotide long non-coding RNA is filed under the name Marmota monax (woodchuck). Lineage: Eukaryota; Metazoa; Chordata; Mammalia; Rodentia; Sciuridae. The record is from RNAcentral.